Molecule: long non-coding RNA, 2277 nt
Organism: Musca domestica (house fly)
Lineage: Eukaryota; Metazoa; Arthropoda; Insecta; Diptera; Muscidae
Exons: 3
Source: RefSeq, a predicted model, not a curated record
GGAUAAUGUAUCUAUGGUAUCUGGAUAUUGUGGAUAAUGUAUCUAUGGUAUCUAGAUAAAAUGGAUAAUGUAUCUAUGGCAUGGAAUAAUGUUUCUAUGGCGUGGAUAAUGUAUCUAUGUUAUAUGGAUAAGGUUUAUAAUGUAUCUGUGGCACCUAGAUAACGUAAAUAAUGUAUCUAUGGCGUGGAUAAAGUAUCUACGGUAUCUAGAUAACGUAUAUAAUGUAUCUAUGGUAUCUAGAUAAAGUGGAUAAUGUAUCUAUGGCGUAUAAUGUAUCUAUGGUAUCCAGAUAACGUGGAUAAUGUAUCUAUGGCAUCUAGAUACCGUGGAUAAUGUAUCUAUGAAAUCCAGAUAUCGUGGAUAAUGUAUAUAUGGCCUACAGAUACCGUGGAUAAUGUAUAUAUGGCUCGGAUAACGUAUCGAUAGUAUUUAGGUAACGUGGAUAACGUAUCUAUGGCUCGGAUAAUGCAUUUAUGGCAUCCAGAUACCGUGGAUAAAGUGUCUAUGCCGCGGAUAACGUAUAUACGGUGUCCAGAAAUCCUGAAUAAAGUAUCUAUGGCAUCAAGAUAACGUUGAUAAUGUAUCUAUGGCAUUCAGAUACCGUGGAUAACGUAUCUAUGGCUCGGAUAAUGUAUCUACGGUAUCCAGAAAUCCUGAAUAAUGUAUCUAAGGUUUCAAGAUAACGUGGAUAAAGUAUCUGCUUGAUCCACAUAACCAGGAUAAUUUAUCUACUUCAUCCACAUAACCUGAAUAAUGUUCCUCCUAACUCCAAAUAUAUCUAUACUAUUUAAAUACCCCUCUUCCACUGUGCAAGGACUCUUCACUUGUGAAUUUUCACAAAAAUAACAUGUUUGUGAGAGUAUGUGUGUGUGCGAGUAUAUGUGCCUGUGUGCCACUUUAAGUUGAGGUAGCUCAUUACAAGGGCAAUACUUUCAAUUUCAUUUACACUCUAUUUAAUUCCUGUCGGCGAACAAUACCAAAGAUAAAUGGCGUGUGUGUGAGAGAGAGAAGGAGAUAAAACUAAGCUGCCUACAGGAUUCCGCUACCCCACAAUUGGAGAUUGUGGGCUUAUGGAAUGUGUGAUAAUUAAAGACAAUUUGACGAAAAAAAAAUAGGCAGCAAGAAAACGUAACACCAUAAAAGAAGUAAGGCUGGCUGGCUGACAACCUAAACUUGAACUCAGGCGUAAAGCGGGAAAUGCUUUUCGAGCAACAUUAUCUGAAUGGAUGAAAGGCAAAUGUUGGAAAAAAAUAUAUUAAAAUCGGAAAAAAAACACCACAAGAAACGUGACACAUUCCAAGUGACAAAGCCAGGUUUCUGUUGCGUGUUAGAUAGCAACAAAAAAACAUAAAAUUGUUGUUGUUGGCCUGGUGGAAGUGAAAGAAAAGCAUGCCGAUCCAAUUAUUAUGAAUAUUAUGACAAAAAAUGAAAAGAGCAGGCAAGAGGUGGAAACCGUUUUGCGAUCCAGUCAUUGAUUAAACAACAAAAAACCUAGGCAGCUACUUGUCAAGCCCAGCUGGAGUUAAAUGGUGGAGAAAAAACUCCAAACACACUCGCAUAGAAGUCAACCAAGCGUCUAAAAGAUUUCCAAAAGCCUAGAGUGGGCCAUUUGAAGGGCCAGCAAAAACAUAAACGACAAGGGAACAAAAAUAUCAGUUGCGUGAAAUUAAAUCACUCUCAAAAAGAAAGUCACAAAGAGAGGCAAAAGAAAGAAGAGAAAUGAGAGAAUGAAAAAUGAUAGCCUAGGUCAAAAAGAAAAUAAAUGGAUUACAAAAUACUAUGGCAGAGCCAAACAGGUUACACCAACUCUCCUCUCCCACUUCCCUCUCACUCUCUCUCCCUCUCUCUGCCAGCAUUUCUCUGGCUGCAAGAGAUUCUGUAUCAAAUCAACUUUCAACAGGCUAACCUUUCUUAACAUUGGCCAUUAACGCCAUCGUCAAACGGCAUCCGACAGUCAGUCAAUGUUAAAUGCAACAUUUACAAGAAAAUCCAUGAAUGAAAUGAAAUUAUAACAACAACAACACCAGGAAGCCUUUUUUCACAACAAUAACAACAAAAACAAUGACAACAAGUUGAAAUGAGACUGGUUUCGUUAUGGAGUUGUGAUGAGUAUUGUGGCUGCUUGGAUGGUUGAUUGUUUGGUUGGUUGGUUGCUUGUUGGCCGCCGCUUGUUUGGCCCACGUUGUAGUAUUGAAAUGAAAACGAAAGACUUAAGACACAAACUUUAAAUUCGGCCAUGUAAAAAAAACGUAUUUUUUCGUUAAUGUUUUUUUUUUA